UACAGAGGGUGCGAGCGUUUAAUCGGAAUUACUGGGCGUAAAGCGUGCGUAGACGGCUAUCUAAGUCGGGUGUGAAAGCCCCGGGCUCAACCUGGGAAUUGCAUUCGAGACUGAAUAGCUAGGGUGCGGUAGAGGGAAGCGGAAUUUCCGGUGUAGCGGUGAAAUGCGUAGAUAUCGUAAGGAAGACCGGUGGCGAAAGCUAGUCUCUGGGCCGAUACUGACGCUGAGGAGCGAAAGCGUGGGGAGCGAACAGGG
Molecule: ribosomal RNA, 255 nt
Filed under: uncultured bacterium
Lineage: Bacteria
Description: partial 16S ribosomal RNA
Rfam family: Bacterial small subunit ribosomal RNA
Source: RNAcentral